RNAcentral lists this transfer RNA (72 nucleotides) under Camelus bactrianus (Bactrian camel). It matches the Rfam family "tRNA". Rfam says of the family: Transfer RNA (tRNA) molecules are approximately 80 nucleotides in length. The record is from Rfam by way of RNAcentral. RNAcentral also lists the same sequence under 2 other names. Lineage: Eukaryota; Metazoa; Chordata; Mammalia; Artiodactyla; Camelidae.
GCGAGUAUAGCUCAGUACUAGAGCACGUGCUUAACGUGCACAAGGUCCUGGGUUCAAUUCUCAGUACCUACA